UACAGAGGGGUGCGAGCGUUAAUCGGAUUUUACUGGGCGUAAAAGCGUGCGUAGGCGGCUGAUUAAAGUCGGAUGUGAAAUCCCUGAGCUUAACUUAGGAAUUGCAUUCGAUACUGGUCAGCUAGAGUAUGGGAGAGGAUGGUAGAAUUCCAGGUGUAGCGGUGAAAUGCGUAGAGAUCUGGAGGAAUACCGAUGGCGAAGGCAGCCAUCUGGCCUAAUACUGACGCUGAGGUACGAAAGCAUGGGGAGCAAAACAGG
This 258-nucleotide ribosomal RNA is filed under the name uncultured bacterium. RNAcentral describes it as "partial 16S ribosomal RNA". It matches the Rfam family "Bacterial small subunit ribosomal RNA", at positions 524 to 776 of the family's 1533-position model. The record is from RNAcentral.